This 447-nucleotide ribosomal RNA is filed under the name uncultured bacterium. Its description in RNAcentral is "bacterial SSU rRNA". It matches the Rfam family "Bacterial small subunit ribosomal RNA", at positions 355 to 825 of the family's 1533-position model. The record is from RNAcentral.
UGGGGAAUAUUGGACAAUGGGCGGAAGCCUGAUCCAGCAAUGCCGCGUGUGUGAAGAAGGCCUGAGGGUUGUAAAGCACUUUUACCAGGGAUGAUAAUGACAGUACCUGGAGAAUAAGCUCCGGCUAACUCCGUGCCAGCAGCCGCGGUAAUACGGAGGGAGCUAGCGUUGUUCGGAAUUACUGGGCGUAAAGCGUACGUAGGCGGUGACUCAAGUCAGAGGUGAAAGCCUGGAGCUCAACUCCAGAACUGCCUUUGAAACUAGGUCGCUAGAAUCACGGAGAGGUGAGUGGAAUUCCGAGUGUAGAGGUGAAAUUCGUAGAUAUUCGGAAGAACACCAGUGGCGAAGGCGGCUCACUGGACGUGUAUUGACGCUGAGGUACGAAAGCGUGGGGAGCAAACAUGAUUAGAUACCCCCGUAGUCCCUGAGCGGGCUGGCAAGGCGCAU